This 1293-nucleotide ribosomal RNA is filed under the name Formicosepsis sp. LX2018-01. RNAcentral's name for it is "16S ribosomal RNA". The stretch from base 1045 to 1204 matches the Rfam family "Archaeal large subunit ribosomal RNA", at positions 2544 to 2703 of the family's 2987-position model. The record is from RNAcentral. Lineage: Eukaryota; Metazoa; Arthropoda; Insecta; Diptera; Cypselosomatidae.
UUAAUUAUUUUAUUAAAAAUAAUUAUAAUGAUUAUUAUUUUUAGUAUUUUAUAAAGAAUAAAUAAUUUUAGUAAUAGUGAAUAGUAUUGUAAAAGAAAAUUGAAAUAAUGUGAAAAAUCAAUAUUUAAAAAGAAAAUUUAAUUUAUUGUACCUUGGGUAUCAGGGUUUAUUAAAUAAAAUACUUAUAUAUGUGUUUCUCGAUUUUGAAAGAGUUAAUAAAUUAUAAAAGUUAUUGUGUUAAAAUUAUUUUUAAUAAUUUAUUAGAAAUGAAAUGUUAUUCGUUUUUAAAGGUAUCUAGUUUUUUAAGAAAUAAAUUUAAUUUAGAAAUAAAAAAUUAUUGUUUUAAUUUACAAAAAUAAUAAUUUUUUUAUUUUAAUAUUUUAUGGGAUAAGCUAUAAAAUAAAUAUUUAAAAAUAAAAUAAGAUUUAUAUAAAUUGUAUGCUUAGAAUUAGCAAUCAUUAAAAAUUUUGUUUUAAAUUAUUUUAUAAUUUAUAUUAUUUAUUUUUUUUUAAUUAUUUAUUAAAAUUUUAAUUUUAAUUAUAAAAAUUAAUCAAUAAUGAUAAAAUUAGUAUAUUAUAUUUUAUAAAUAAGUAUUUAGGAUAAGUUUAAUUAAAGAAUUCGGCAAAAUUUAAUAUUCGCCUGUUUAACAAAAACAUGUCUUUUUGAGAUAAUUUUAAAGUUUAACCUGCCCACUGAAAUAAUUUUAAAUGGCCGCAGUAUAUUGACUGUGCAAAGGUAGCAUAAUCAUUAGUCUUUUAAUUGAAGGCUUGUAUGAAUGGUUGGACGAAAUAUUAACUGUUUCAAAUAAAUUUAUUUUAGAAUUUUAUUUUUUAGUUAAAAAGCUAAAAUAGUAGUAAAAGACGAGAAGACCCUAUAAAUCUUUAUAUAUUUGAUAAUUUAAAUAAUAUAGAAAUUUUAUGUUUUAAUUAUUAAAUAUAUUUCAUUGGGGUGAUGUUAAAAUUUGUAAAACUUUUAAUUUUUAAGAACAUUGAUUUAUGAAUUAUUGAUCCAGUUUUAUUGAUUAUAAAUUUAAGUUACUUUAGGGAUAACAGCGUAAUUUUUUUGGAGAGUUCAUAUCGAUAAAAAAGAUUGCGACCUCGAUGUUGGAUUAAGAUAUAAUUUUGGGUGUAGCCGUUCAAUUUUUAAGUCUGUUCGACUUUUAAAAUCUUACAUGAUCUGAGUUCAGACCGGCGUAAGCCAGGUCGGUUUCUAUCUUUAUUAAAUUAAAAUAUUUUAGUACGAAAGGAUUAAAUAUUUAAAUAAUUAUAUUUUUAUUAAGAAUUUGAUUAAUAA